Molecule: long non-coding RNA, 1447 nt
Filed under: Androctonus crassicauda
Lineage: Eukaryota; Metazoa; Arthropoda; Arachnida; Scorpiones; Buthidae
Source: RNAcentral
CUGUAUUUGAGACAUUUACUUUUCAUGUUCAAUCUGUAAGGAUCCUGCAACAUAUGUAGGCUGGUGUCUUUGGUUUUAUCAUUCAACAUUCCUUCUUCUGAUACCAGUGUAAGCAGAUGGUCAAUAUAAAAAUGUGCAUUGAUAAAUUUUAGGGUAUUUUUGGGUGAAGGUAUUGUCUAUUACAGCUUCCCUACAAGAAGAAUUUGAUAAUCCAUUUUCUUUUAAGUUUUAACAAUGCAUUUAAUAUGGGUACGUUUUAGCAUCCAUAUAACGUAUGGGGUUAUAAAACAGUCCAAAGUAUAUUAUUUUUAAAGGGAAUGAAAUACAAAAAAACAUAUACAUAAAAAUUAUUAAAGUUGAUAUAAACAUAAAAUAAAAUAAGAAAAAGGGAGAUUGGAGCUUCCUGAGCUCCACACAAGAAAUCUUUUUGCAAGAGCUGUUGUCAUUCUACCCAUUCUUAUAUAAUUCUUAUGUUCAUUGAUUCUGUCUUUGAGAUUACAUUUGGUUAUGCCUAUGUAUUCUUCAGCCUUGCAAAGAUCAUUAUUCUAGAUUGGAAAAGCAUAUAUCCUUUAUCUAAGGACCUGACUAUACUUAUCUUUUUUGUUUCUUAAGAUCCUGAAUAUUGUGUGGUUAUGUCUGUAUGCUAACUCCUAACCACCCUUCUUAGCAAUAUUUUUUAUACCAUUUAAUCUUGCUAGAGAGUAUGGAAUUGGCAAUCUAGUAUUUACUUUAUUUGCCUGCUAUUUUAUACAUUCUGGCCAAUAGAAUCCUCUAUUGUUUAGUUUGUGAUUCUUUGCUAAUUUUUGUUUGUUGAUGAGAGUUAUUUUAUGUAACUGAAAAUGUCUCAAUAAAUGUGUUUGUUGUUUUCCUAUUGCUGUCAUCGUAUUUUUUACGGAACAUACAAUUUAUAGCAUUCAUAGUUUAUCUUAUUGGGAUUUUAUAUUUUUAUGCAUAAGUGAGCAAGAUUUAACUAGAUAUUAGCAAGAUAAUAACUAGAAAUAAUAAUAUGCCAUGUAUACUCUCACAUUUAUUUUAUUCAAAUUUACAUUUGAACAAACAAAAUAUAAAAAUUUAAAAUUUGUUUCAAAAAAUAAUUUGAAAAUAUAAAUUAUUUUUUUGAAAUAAAUCGAUUUCCUUUUAUAGAAAUAAUUUUUGUAUAUAUUUUAAGUAUGGAAACAGUUUGAACAGCAAUGUAUUAUGCACAAUGUGAAAAUAUCAGUUACUCAUGUUUUCAAUUAUUUGUCUAUCUCUACACUUUAUACAUCUUCAUUAUAAGAAAUAAGAAUUAUUGGUUUUUUACUGUUCUGAUUUUGGAUUUGAUUCAUGGAACUAUUAAUUUUAUUCAAUUUAAAUAUUUUUGGAUGAUAAUUUUUGUUAACAGACAUCAACAAAAGUCAACAACACAAUGAUAACAGCACUGCCUGAUACUCAAUCGACAAACUCCAGU